RNAcentral lists this long non-coding RNA (405 nucleotides) under Fukomys damarensis (Damara mole-rat). Its description in RNAcentral is "lncRNA (ENSFDAG00000024300.1)". The record is from RNAcentral. Lineage: Eukaryota; Metazoa; Chordata; Mammalia; Rodentia; Bathyergidae.
CGCACACGCACACGCUCACAGCCGCCCGCGCCACGCGCUCCCAACUUGUUCCGCGCCCGCAGCCGCUCCGACGUCUUGGAAACUCCAUUCCCAGUUGCCCUCUUAGCCUGAGUUACCCACGCGGACUUCUUCGUAGGCCCCUCACACGCGAAUUUCUGACCCUCUCGUGCACAAAAAACGAGUGGACCCAGGGAUUGUGGGUGGAGAACUAUCUGGAAAACCAAGGACUCAGCAGUAGAGCACCAAGCUUGUAGCUGCUUCUCAUGAGGGAUGAGCAAACUUCUCUCCUCCAAAGGAGAGUAAAGGUAAGGUAGGCUAUGAAAUACAAGAUUAAUUAAUAUAUACACACUAAAAAGUUUUAAUUCUGCCUACAUGGGAGUGUGCUUGUUUUCUAUUGCUGGUAAC